UUCGUAGCUGGACUGUUAAGUCCCUUGGGAAAUCCGUCGGCUCAACCGACGGGCGUCUAAGGGAUACUGGCAGUCUUGGGACCGGGAGAGGUAAGAGGUACUCCGGGGGUAGGAGUGAAAUCCUGUAAUCCCCGGGGGACCACUGGUGGCGAAGGCGUCUUACCAGAACGGCUCCGACAGUGAGGAACGAAAGCUGGGGGAGCGAACAGGAUUAGAUACCCUGGUAGUCC
Molecule: ribosomal RNA, 230 nt
Filed under: uncultured bacterium
Lineage: Bacteria
Description: partial 16S ribosomal RNA
Rfam family: Archaeal small subunit ribosomal RNA
Source: RNAcentral